Molecule: ribosomal RNA, 253 nt
Filed under: uncultured bacterium
Lineage: Bacteria
Description: partial 16S ribosomal RNA
Rfam family: Bacterial small subunit ribosomal RNA
Source: RNAcentral
UACGUAGGGGGCUAGCGUUGUCCGGAAUCAUUGGGCGUAAAGAGCGUGUAGGCGGCCCGGUAAGUCCGCUGUAAAAGUCAAAGGCUCAACCUUUGAAUGUCAGUGGAUACUGCCGGCCUAGAGUCCGGAAGAGGCGAGUGGAACUCCUGGUGUAGCGGUGGAAUGCGCAGAUAUCAGGAAGAACACCAACGGCGAAGGCAGCUCGCUAGGACGGUACUGACGCUGUGGAGCGAAAGCAUGGGGAGCGAACAGG